AGCGAACGCUGGCGGCAGGCCUAACACAUGCGAGUCGAACGGAUCCUUCGGGAUUAGUGGCGGACGGGUGAGUAACGCGUGGGAACGUGCCCUUUGGUUCGGAACAACUCAGGGAAACUUGAGCUAAUACCGGAUGUGCCCUUCGGGGGAAAGAUUUAUCGCCAUUGGAGCGGCCCGCGUCUGAUUAGCUAGUUGGUGAGGUAACGGCCCACCAAGGCGACGAUCAGUAGCUGGUCUGAGAGGAUGAUCAGCCACACUGGGACUGAGACACGGCCCAGACUCCUACGGGAGGCAGCAGUGGGGAAUCUUGCGCAAUGGGCGAAAGCCUGACGCAGCCAUGCCGCGUGAAUGAUGGAGGUCUUAGGAUUGUAAAAUUCUUUCAGCGGGGACGAUAAUGACGGUACCCGCAGAAGAAGCUCCGGCUAACUUCGUG
Molecule: ribosomal RNA, 433 nt
Filed under: uncultured bacterium
Lineage: Bacteria
Description: partial 16S ribosomal RNA
Rfam family: Bacterial small subunit ribosomal RNA
Source: RNAcentral